RNAcentral lists this ribosomal RNA (465 nucleotides) under uncultured bacterium. RNAcentral's name for it is "partial 16S ribosomal RNA". It matches the Rfam family "Bacterial small subunit ribosomal RNA", at positions 28 to 507 of the family's 1533-position model. The record is from RNAcentral.
GACGAACGCUGGCGGCGUGCUUAACACAUGCAAGUCGAACGGAAAGGCCCUGCUUUUGUGGGGUGCCCGAGUGGCGAACGGGUGAGUAACACGUGAGUAACCUGCCCUUGACUUUGGGAUAACUUCAGGAAACUGGGGCUAAUACCGGAUAGGAGCUCCUGCUGCAUGGUGGGGGUUGGAAAGUUUCGGCGGUUGGGGAUGGACUCGCGGCUUAUCAGCUUGUUGGUGUAGUGGCUUACCAAGGCUUUGACGGGUAGCCGGCCUGAGAGGGUGACCGGCCACAUUGGGACUGAGAUACGGCCCAGACUCCUACGGGAGGCAGCAGUGGGGAAUAUUGCACAAUGGGCGGAAGCCUGAUGCAGCAACGCCGCGUGCGGGAUGACGGCCUUCGGGUUGUAAACCGCUUUCGCCUGUGACGAAGCGUGAGUGACGGUAAUGGGUAAAGAAGCACCGGCUAACUACGUG